Molecule: ribosomal RNA, 492 nt
Filed under: uncultured bacterium
Lineage: Bacteria
Description: partial 16S ribosomal RNA
Rfam family: Bacterial small subunit ribosomal RNA
Source: RNAcentral
AGUGAACGCUGGCGGUAGGCCUAACACAUGCAAGUCGAACGGCAGCACAGUAAUAGCUUGCUCUUACGGGUGGCGAGUGGCGGACGGGUGAGGAAUACAUCGGAAUCUACUUUUUCGUGGGGGAUAACGUAGGGAAACUUACGCUAAUACCGCAUACGACCUACGGGGGAAAGCAGGGGAUCUUCGGACCUUGCGCGAUUGAAUUAGCCGAUGUCGGAUUAGAUAGUUGGCGGGGUAAAAGCCCACCAAGGCGACGAUCCGUAGCUGGUCUGAGAGGAUGAUCAGCCACACUGGAACUGAGACACGGUCCAGACGCCUAAGGGAGGCAGCAGUGGGGAAUAUUGGACAAUGGGCGCAAGCCUGAUCCAGCCAUACCGCGUGGGUGAAGAAGGCCUUCGGGUUGUAAAGACCUUUUGUUGGGAAAGAAAAGCAGCAGGUUAAUACCCCGCUGUUCUGACGGUACCCAAAGAAUAAGCACCGGCUAACUUCGUG